GAGUCAACUGAAUACAUAGGUUAACAGAGCAAACCGGGGGAACUGAAACAUCUAAGUACCCCGAGGAGAAGAAAUCAACCGAGAUUCCGGUAGUAGCGGCGAGCGAAUCUGGAUUAGCCCUUAAGCACUCGGUGAAGUAGGUGAACAAGCUGGAAAGCUUGGCGAUACAGGGUGAUAGCCCCGUAACCGACGCUUCAUCGAGCGUGAAAUCGAGUAGGGCGGGACACGUGAUAUCCUGUCUGAAUAUGGGGGGACCAUCCUCCAAGGCUAAAUACUCCUGACUGACCGAUAGUGAACCAGUACCGUGAGGGAAAGGCGAAAAGAACCCCUGUGAGGGGAGUGAAAUAGAACCUGAAACCGUGUACGUACAAGCAGUAGGAGCACCUUCGUGGUGUGACUGCGUACCUUUUGUAUAAUGGGUCAGCGACUUAUAUUCAGUGGCAAGGUUAACCGUAUAGGGGAGCCGUAGCGAAAGCGAGUCUUAACUGGGCGCUCAGUCUCUGGAUAUAGACCCGAAACCGGGUGAUCUAGCCAUGGGCAGGUUGAAGGUUGAGUAACAUCAACUGGAGGACCGAACCGACUAAUGUUGAAAAAUUAGCGGAUGACUUGUGGCUAGGGGUGAAAGGCCAAUCAAACUCGGAGAUAGCUGGUUCUCCCCGAAAGCUAUUUAGGUAGCGCCUCGGACGAAUACUACUGGGGGUAGAGCACUGUUAAGGCUAGGGGGUCAUCCCGACUUACCAACCCUUUGCAAACUCCGAAUACCAGUAAGUACUAUCCGGGAGACACACGGCGGGUGCUAACGUCCGUCGUGGAGAGGGAAACAACCCAGACCGCCAGCUAAGGUCCCAAAGUAUUGCUAAGUGGGAAACGAUGUGGGAAGGCUCAGACAGCUAGGAUGUUGGCUUAGAAGCAGCCAUCAUUUAAAGAAAGCGUAAUAGCUCACUAGUCGAGUCGGCCUGCGCGGAAGAUGUAACGGGGCUAAGCAAUACACCGAAGCUGCGGCAAUAUCUUUUAGAUAUUGGGUAGGGGAGCGUUCUGUAAGCCGUUGAAGGUGAAUCGUAAGGUUUGCUGGAGGUAUCAGAAGUGCGAAUGCUGACAUGAGUAACGACAAAGGGGGUGAAAAACCUCCUCGCCGGAAGACCAAGGGUUCCUGUCCAACGUUAAUCGGGGCAGGGUGAGUCGACCCCUAAGGUGAGGCCGAAAGGCGUAAUCGAUGGGAAACGGGUUAAUAUUCCCGUACUUCUGACUAUUGCGAUGGGGGGACGGAGAAGGCUAGGUGGGCCAGGCGACGGUUGUCCUGGUUCAAGUGCGUAGGCUUGAGAGUUAGGUAAAUCCGGCUCUCUCUAAGGCUGAGACACGACGUCGAGCUGCUACGGCAGUGAAGUCAUUGAUGCCAUGCUUCCAGGAAAAGCCUCUAAGCUUCAGAUAGUCAGGAAUCGUACCCCAAACCGACACAGGUGGUCGGGUAGAGAAUACCAAGGCGCUUGAGAGAACUCGGGUGAAGGAACUAGGCAAAAUGGUACCGUAACUUCGGGAGAAGGUACGCUCUUGAUGGUGAAGUCCCUCGCGGAUGGAGCUGACGAGAGUCGCAGAUACCAGGUGGCUGCAACUGUUUAUUAAAAACACAGCACUGUGCAAAAUCGCAAGAUGACGUAUACGGUGUGACGCCUGCCCGGUGCCGGAAGGUUAAUUGAUGGGGUUAGCGCAAGCGAAGCUCUUGAUCGAAGCCCCGGUAAACGGCGGCCGUAACUAUAACGGUCCUAAGGUAGCGAAAUUCCUUGUCGGGUAAGUUCCGACCUGCACGAAUGGCGUAAUGAUGGCCACGCUGUCUCCACCCGAGACUCAGUGAAAUUGAAAUCGCUGUGAAGAUGCAGUGUACCCGCGGCUAGACGGAAAGACCCCGUGAACCUUUACUACAGCUUGGCACUGAACAUUGAACCUACAUGUGUAGGAUAGGUGGGAGGCUAUGAAGACGUGACGCCAGUUGCGUUGGAGCCGUCCUUGAAAUACCACCCUUGUAUGUUUGAUGUUCUAACUUAGACCCAUUAUCUGGGUUGAGGACAGUGCCUGGUGGGUAGUUUGACUGGGGCGGUCUCCUCCCAAAGAGUAACGGAGGAGCACGAAGGUGGGCUAAUCACGGUUGGACAUCGUGAGGUUAGUGCAAUGGCAUAAGCCCGCUUAACUGCGAGAAUGACGGUUCGAGCAGGUGCGAAAGCAGGUCAUAGUGAUCCGGUGGUUCUGUAUGGAAGGGCCAUCGCUCAACGGAUAAAAGGUACUCCGGGGAUAACAGGCUGAUACCGCCCAAGAGUUCAUAUCGACGGCGGUGUUUGGCACCUCGAUGUCGGCUCAUCACAUCCUGGGGCUGAAGUCGGUCCCAAGGGUAUGGCUGUUCGCCAUUUAAAGUGGUACGCGAGCUGGGUUUAGAACGUCGUGAGACAGUUCGGUCCCUAUCUGCCGUGGGCGUUGGAAGAUUGAAGGGGGCUGCUCCUAGUACGAGAGGACCGGAGUGGACGAACCUCUGGUGUUCGGGUUGUGUCGCCAGACGCAUUGCCCGGUAGCUAAGUUCGGAAUUGAUAAGCGCUGAAAGCAUCUAAGCGCGAAGCGAGCCCUGAGAUGAGUCUUCCCUGACAGUUUAACUGUCCUAAAGGGUUGUUCGAGACUAGAACGUUGAUAGGCAGGGUGUGUAAGCGUUGUGAGGCGUUGAGCUAACCUGUACUAAUUGCCCGUGAGGCUUAACCA
Molecule: ribosomal RNA, 2739 nt
Filed under: Vibrio cholerae
Lineage: Bacteria; Pseudomonadati; Pseudomonadota; Gammaproteobacteria; Vibrionales; Vibrionaceae
Description: 23S ribosomal RNA
Rfam family: Bacterial large subunit ribosomal RNA
Source: RNAcentral